AAAACACGGGAUGGCCCCAGUAACGGCGAAGUGGAUGCGGCAACAGCUCAAAUUUGAAAUUUUGCCCCUAGGGUCCGAGUUGUAAUUUGCAGAGGAUGCUUUUGACAAGGUGCCUUCCGAGUUCCCUGGAACGGGACGCCAUAGAGGGUGAGAGCCCCGUCUGGUCGGAUACCGCGUCUCUGUAAAGCUCCUUCGACGAGUCGAGUAGUUUGGGAAUGCUGCUCAAAAUGGGAGGUAUAUGUCUUCUAAAGCUAAAUAUUGGCCAGAGACCGAUAGCGCACAAGUAGAGUGAUCGAAAGAUGAAAAGCACUUUGAAAAGAGGGUUAAAAAGUACGUGAAAUUGUUGAAAGGGAAGCGCCUAUGACCAGACUUGGGCCCGGUGAAUCAUCCAGCGUUCUCGCUGGUGCACUUUGCCGGGCACAGGCCAGCAUCAGUUUGGCUUGGGGGAAAAAGGCUUUGGGAACGUAGCUCCUCGGAGUGUUAUAGACCAUUGCAUAAUACCCUGGGGCCGGACUGAGGUUCGCGCAUCUGCAAGGAUGCUGGGCGUAAUGGGUCAUCAGCGACCCGUCUUGGAAACACGGACCAAGGAGUCGUCUUCGUAUGCGAGUGUUCGGGUGUAAAACCCCUACGCGUAAUGAAAGUGAACGCAGGUGAGAGCUUCGGCGCAUCAUCGACCGAUCCUGAUGUUCUCGGAUGGAUUUGAGUAAGAGCAUACGGGGCCGGACCCGAAAGAAGGUGAACUAUGCCUGUAUAGGGUGAAGCCAGAGGAAACUCUGGUGGAGGCUCGCAGCGGUUCUGACGUGCGAAUCGAU
This 812-nucleotide ribosomal RNA is filed under the name Leptobacillium leptobactrum. Its description in RNAcentral is "partial large subunit ribosomal RNA". It matches the Rfam family "Eukaryotic large subunit ribosomal RNA", at positions 61 to 902 of the family's 3401-position model. Lineage: Eukaryota; Fungi; Ascomycota; Sordariomycetes; Hypocreales; Cordycipitaceae. The record is from RNAcentral.